RNAcentral lists this long non-coding RNA (303 nucleotides) under Brachypodium distachyon (stiff brome). RNAcentral's name for it is "long non-coding RNA (BDIS_LNC004580)". The record is from RNAcentral. Lineage: Eukaryota; Viridiplantae; Streptophyta; Magnoliopsida; Poales; Poaceae.
ACUAGACAAUUAGAGAGUGAACACCUCAACUGAAUCUACUGCAUCUCUUCACAAACAAAUCAUUUGACAUACUACACUAUAAGUACCCUCUCCGCAGUUUUUACCAAGUUUUCCAUCCUAGCCAGUGUAGAUACAUUCCCACUUCUUGAGCUGAAGAAAUAUAGCUGUGUGCAUCGGUCGAUGCAGGAGGCGGGGUUUAUCCUCAUUUUCGAAAAAAAAAAAACUUGUGACAUGCAUGCAUGUACCUGCUAUGAUUAUUUUUUGAAAGAGUAAAAUGCAUCAGAGGUCCUAAUUCUUUCGCAA